RNAcentral lists this long non-coding RNA (477 nucleotides) under Mus pahari (shrew mouse). RNAcentral's name for it is "predicted gene 15178 (MGP_PahariEiJ_G0003611.1)". The record is from RNAcentral. Lineage: Eukaryota; Metazoa; Chordata; Mammalia; Rodentia; Muridae.
CUGGGCUUGGAGACGGGACUUGUCUCAGUGUGUUGGCAUGGCCAUCUCCCCAGAACUCCCUGGGGCAAGAAGAAGCAUUGCUGAGAACAUUUCAGGUUUAGUUCUAAGUGUAUGAAAUGCGGGUGAGAAUUUCACUUGGUCAGCCUGACCCAGCCGGACUCAAAGACAAUUGGCCUUUCCACCAGACCCCAUUCAGAGAUACCAUUAUAGCAGUAGUUCUCAACCUGUGGGUCUCAGCUCCUUUGGGGUCUAAAUGACUCUUUUACAGGACCCCCUGUUUGACCACCAGAGAGCAUAGCUACUUACAUUAUGAUUCAUACAUAACACUAGCAAAUUAGAGUUAUGAAGUAGCAACAAAACUAAUAUCGGCAGCGUCACCACAUCACGAGGUAUAUUAAAUGGUGGCAACAUCAGGAAGGCGGAGAACCACUGCUCUUUAGGAUAUUCAAAGAUGAGUUUGGCCAAUGUCAUGGAUUU